CUGACACCCCGAGAGAUCGGGCGUUCCCCUUCGGGGGACAGGGUGACAGGUGGUGCAUGGUUGUCGUCAGCUCGUGUCGUGAGAUGUUGGGUUAAGUCCCGCAACGAGCGCAACCCUUGACCUUAGUUGCCAGCAUUGAGUUGGGCACUCUAAGGUGACUGCCGAUGACAAAUCGGAGGAAGGUGGGGAUGACGUCAAAUCAUCAUGCCCCUUAUGACCUGGGCUACACACGUGCUACAAUGGGCGGUACAAAGGGUUGCGAACCCGCGAGGGGGAGCCAAUCCCAAAAAGCCGCUCUCAGUUCGGAUUGCAGGCUGCAACUCGCCUGCAUGAAGCCGGAAUCGCUAGUAAUCGCGGAUCAGCAUGCCGCGGUGAAUACGUUCCCGGGCCUUGUACACACCGCCCGUCACACCACGAGAGUUUGCAACACCCGAAGUCGGUGGGGUAACCCUUACGGGAGCCAGCCGCCGAAGGUGGGGCAGAUGAUUGGGGUGAAGUCGUAACAAGGUAGCCGUAUCGGAAGGUGCGGCUGGAUCACCUCCUUU
This 545-nucleotide ribosomal RNA is filed under the name Anoxybacteroides rupiense. Its description in RNAcentral is "bacterial SSU rRNA". It matches the Rfam family "Bacterial small subunit ribosomal RNA", at positions 991 to 1533 of the family's 1533-position model. The record is from RNAcentral. Lineage: Bacteria; Bacillati; Bacillota; Bacilli; Caryophanales; Anoxybacillaceae. RNAcentral also lists the same sequence under 1 other name.